This 559-nucleotide unclassified non-coding RNA is filed under the name Hevea brasiliensis (rubber tree). The record is from RNAcentral. Lineage: Eukaryota; Viridiplantae; Streptophyta; Magnoliopsida; Malpighiales; Euphorbiaceae.
CAUAAUCAAGACUAGAUCAACCACUGUCGACAAGACCCAAAAAAUUUAUUUUGUCAAAAUUUAUUUCACCUGAUCAAAUGAGUAAUAAACAUGAGGUAUUGUACUGACUUCAGGGUUGUAUUUGAAUGAAUUUAUACUUUCUAGUAAGAAAUAGGUUCUUUUUAUGAAAAACAGUGAAAUAAAAAAUAGCCCUAACCAAGCAAAAUAAAGGAAAAGAAUUUAUAUAGCCAAACCCAACUUGAAUGGAAUUUAGGCAAAGUCGAAUUAUGAAAUAAGUAGGUAAAAUUUAAUCCCUUGUUAGCCUAUAUUUUUUAAGAAUUUCAACCAUCUUCUAAUUUUCAACCAUCAUCUAACCCUCGUCUAACCCAUGUAAGACCACAUAUUUAAAAUAAAUCACCCUUGCCCUUUCUCAGUCUAGUAAUAUGAACUAAAGUGGCACUCGGUGCAUACCAAGGUGGCAGAUACCCAUUCACUAAGGAAGUCUGGGCCUCAAAAAACAACAACCACAUUACUGAUCCAAGACACUCGCACAUUCUUGGGGAGAGAGAGAGAGAGAGAG